AUUGAGCGCUGGCGGCAUGCCUUACACAUGCAAGUCGAACGGCAGCAUGGAGAGCUUGCUCUCUGAUGGCGAGUGGCGAACGGGUGAGUAAUGCAUCGGAACGUACCGUGUAAUGGGGGAUAACGUAGCGAAAGUUACGCUAAUACCGCAUACGACCUGAGGGCGAAAGCAGGGGAUCGCAAGACCUCGCGUUAUACGAGCGGCCGAUGUCAGAUUAGCUAGUUGGUGAGGUAAAGGCUCACCAAGGCGACGAUCUGUAGCGGGUCUGAGAGGAUGGGCCGCCACACUGGGACUGAGACACGGCCCAGACUCCUACGGGAGGCAGCAGUGGGGAAUUUUGGACAAUGGGGGCAACCCUGAUCCAGCCAUGCCGCGUGAGUGAAGAAGGCCUUCGGGUUGUAAAGCUCUUUCGGCCGGGAAGAAAUCGCACAGGCUAAUACUCUGUGUGGAUGACGGUACCGGCAUAAGAAGCACCGGCUAACUACGUGCCAGCCGCCGCAGUAA
This 504-nucleotide ribosomal RNA is filed under the name uncultured bacterium. RNAcentral describes it as "partial 16S ribosomal RNA". It matches the Rfam family "Bacterial small subunit ribosomal RNA", at positions 30 to 523 of the family's 1533-position model. The record is from RNAcentral.